This 270-nucleotide ribosomal RNA is filed under the name uncultured prokaryote. RNAcentral's name for it is "partial 16S ribosomal RNA". It matches the Rfam family "Bacterial small subunit ribosomal RNA", at positions 524 to 794 of the family's 1533-position model. The record is from RNAcentral.
UACGUAGGGGCAAGCGUUGUCCGGAAUUACUGGGCGUAAAGCGCACGCAGGCUGAAUUAUAAGUCGGUAGUAAAAGGCGGGGGCUCAACUUCCGUAUAUCUAUCGAUACUGUAAAUCUAGAGUAUGUGAGAGGGAAGCGGAAUUCCCGGUGUAGCGGUGAAAUGCGUAGAGAUAUGGAGGAACACCAGUGGCGAAGGCGACUUCCUGGUCUGUAACUGACACUGAGUCACGAAAGCGUGGGUAGCAAACAGGAUUAGAUACUCCGGUAGU